Molecule: long non-coding RNA, 299 nt
Organism: Oncorhynchus tshawytscha (Chinook salmon)
Lineage: Eukaryota; Metazoa; Chordata; Actinopteri; Salmoniformes; Salmonidae
Source: Ensembl
UCCCCCCAGUCAGUCAUCUCCCAGUCAAUAGUCCACCAGUCAAUAGUCCCCAGUCAAUAGCCCCCCAGUCAUCCCCCCCCCAGUCAGUCAUCUCCCAGUCAAUAGCCCACCAGUCAAUAGCCCCCCAGUCAGUCAUCUCCCAGUCAAUAGUCCACCAGUCAAUAGCCCCCAGUCAGUCAUCUCCCAGUCAAUAGUCCACCAGUCAAUAGCCCCCAGUCAGUCAUCUCCCAGUCAAUAGCCCCCAGUCAAUAGUCCACCAGUCAAUAGUCCACCAGUCAAUAGUCCCCAGUCAAUAGUCC